RNAcentral lists this long non-coding RNA (634 nucleotides) under Homo sapiens (human). RNAcentral describes it as "HSALNT0350255". The record is from RNAcentral. Lineage: Eukaryota; Metazoa; Chordata; Mammalia; Primates; Hominidae.
UACCCUUUUCCCUUCAAGGUGGGUUUUAUGAAGAUUUCCCCCUCCACCUAUCCUGAUACCAAGAACUGGAUUUGGCAUUGGUUUUAAGUUGCUCAGAUGAAGAUUCAAGGCUCAGAGGGAAGAAACUUCCCAGGCAUCAUACAGUUGGUCAGUGUUAGAGCCAGAAUUUAAAGUCCACUCUGUUAUACCGUUCUGAUAUUCUAAUCACUUUGAUUCCCUGCUGUUCCUGCCCAAGGCUCCUGCAGAUGCCAGGCACCUCUUAUGCUCAGUCAAGGAAGGUCUGUCAGCUUCUAUCAGCACAAAGGAGCAACCCAGUUAAGCAAGGUCAGAAGACUCUGAGGCAGCAGACAACUGGGGAAAGGGGAGAAUAGAUAUCUAAAAUCUAAGAAAGACAGUGUUUAUCACUGACCGCUUACAUCAAGUUAUUGGGUGCCCUCAUUUAUUAUGUUAAAAUGGUUGCAGCUGAUGUGAAUUCAUCUAAAAGCAAAGUCUACUCAUGAUUUUCAAGGAGAAAAAUGAAAGACAGUACCAAACCAAACCAAAGCAAACAAACAAAGAAACCAAAACCACAGCCCCUGGGCUCUCUCUCUAGUCCCAUGAACAUCUACCACAAUUUACUCAGAAAAAGAGCCGC